AUCCAGCUGACGAGUCUUAAAUAGGACGAAACAUCUGUGCUGGAU
This 45-nucleotide non-coding RNA is filed under the name Schistosoma curassoni. The record is from RNAcentral. Lineage: Eukaryota; Metazoa; Platyhelminthes; Trematoda; Strigeidida; Schistosomatidae.